UACGGGGGGUGCGAGCGUUAAUCGGAAUAACUGGGCGUAAAGGGCGCGCAGGCGGUCUUUUAAGUGAGGUGUGAAAUCCCCGGGCUUAACCUGGGAAUUGCAUUUGAUACUGGGAGGCUAGAGUACGGUAGGGAGGGGUAGAAUUCCACGUGUAGCGGUGAAAUGCGUAGAGAUGUGGAGGAAUACCGAAGGCGAAGGCAGUCCCUUGGGAAUGUACUGACGCUCAUGUGCGAAAGCGUGGGGAGCAAACAGG
Molecule: ribosomal RNA, 253 nt
Filed under: uncultured bacterium
Lineage: Bacteria
Description: partial 16S ribosomal RNA
Rfam family: Bacterial small subunit ribosomal RNA
Source: RNAcentral